Molecule: ribosomal RNA, 440 nt
Filed under: uncultured bacterium
Lineage: Bacteria
Description: partial 16S ribosomal RNA
Rfam family: Bacterial small subunit ribosomal RNA
Source: RNAcentral
CCUACGUGGAGCAGCAGUGGGGAAUAUUGCACAAUGGGGGAAACCCUGAUGCAGCGACGCCGCGUGAGUGAAGAAGUAAUUCGUUACGUAAAGCUCUAUCAGCAGGGAAGAAAAUGACGGUACCUGAGUAAGAGGCCCCGGCUAACUACGUGCCAGCAGCCGCGGUAAUACUUAGGGGGCAAGCGUUAUCCGGAUUUACUGGGUGUAAAGGGAGCGUAGACGGUGCGACAAGUCUGGAGUGAAAUGCCGCAGCUUAACCCCGGAACUGCUUUGGAAACUGUGCGGCUGGAGUGCAGGAGGGGUAAGAGGAAUUCCUAGUGUAACGGUGAAAUGCGUAGAUAUUAGGAGGAACACCGGUGGCGAAGGCGGCUUACUGGACUGUAACUGACGUUGAGGCUCGAAAGCGUGGGGAGCAAACAGGAUUAGAUACCCUGGUAGUC